RNAcentral lists this unclassified non-coding RNA (1353 nucleotides) under uncultured Neocallimastigales. RNAcentral's name for it is "partial contains small subunit ribosomal RNA, internal transcribed spacer 1, 5.8S ribosomal RNA, internal transcribed spacer 2, and large subunit ribosomal RNA". The stretch from base 634 to 1353 matches the Rfam family "Eukaryotic large subunit ribosomal RNA", at positions 1 to 630 of the family's 3401-position model. Lineage: Eukaryota; Fungi; Neocallimastigomycota; Neocallimastigomycetes; Neocallimastigales. The record is from RNAcentral.
GAAGUAAAAGUCGUAACAAGGUUUCCGUAGGUGAACUGCGGAAGGAUCAUUAAAAAUUCUGCAUUGUUUGGUGGAAACAAUAAUCAUCCUACCUUUGUGAAUUUGUUGUUUGUAUAAUUUUUAAAGAAAGAUUAUUUACUGUCUAUCCUGGAUAGUAAAGUUGGAAGGAGUAAUCUAGAAAACUUUGCUUUCAGGGAAUAGUAUGUAAUAAUUUUUCAUUUAAAGACUUUUUUUAAAUUAACUUUUGUAUUCAUUGUCUAAAUUAUUUUUAAAUAAUUUAAAAACAACUUUUGACAAUGGAUCUCUGGUUCUCGCAACGAUGAAGACGCAGCAAAAUGCGAUAAGUAGUGUGAAUUGCAGAAUACGUGAAUCAUCAAAUCUUCGAACGCAUAUUGCACUUUUUUAGUUUACUAAAAAGUAUGUCUGUUUGAGUAUCAGUAAAUAUUCUCAAUAAACUUUUUGUUUAUGUUAUGAGUGUUUUACAACGAUACAAGUUGUUUCACUUUAAAUUGACUUUAUAUAACCUAUCCAUUUAGGUCAAUUUUUAAAUUGGAUAAAUUUUCCUGUAAAAGGAAUAACUGACAGUUUAAAGAAGAUCUAAAAGGUUUUCUUAAAGGAAUUUAAUAACUAACUUGAUCUCAAAUCAGAUAGAGUACCCGCUGAACUUAAGCAUAUAAUAGCGGAGGAAAAGAACUAACAAGGAUUCCCUAGUAACGGCGAGUGAAGCGGGAAGAGCUCAAAUUUGAAAUCUCAAGGGUUUCCUUGAGAAUUGUAGUUUAUAGAAGUGUUUCUGUUAGAGAGGUGGUAAAGUUCUUGAAUAGGAUAUAGAGGGUGAGAAUCCCGUAUUUGAUCACUUCUACAACGUUGUGAUAACUUUCAACGAGUCGGAUUGUUUGGGAAUGCAGUCAAAUGGGUGGUAAUUCAUCUAGCAAUAUUGGCGAGAGACGAUGCGACAAGUACGUGAGGGAAAGAUGAAAAGAAUUUGAAAAGAGAGUUAAACAGUAGUGAAAUUGUCAAGGGAAGCGUUUGACACAGUGUGUGUUUUUUCGGAAAAUCAAUUAGAUGCGGGAUUCAAGUUUCAUGACUUAAAAGCUUGUUUUUUCCUUUCCUGUCUUUCUUAAUGCACUUUCGGUACAAGUAACAUCAAUUCUUUUGUUGUAAAGGUUAAGAGGAAGGUGGCUUUAAUUCGGUAAGUGUUUAUGCUUUUAACUCUGCAAUCGGAGAGAUUGAGGUCUGCGCGUGAAUCUUGGGGCUAGAUACGUUUGUGCUAAGUUAUAGCUUUCAUAGACAGUUGUUGACUAUGUUUAGUCUUGUAGCUUACUCGCAGAGCUAUUUUACCUAGUUAGGAGUUGA